Molecule: ribosomal RNA, 502 nt
Filed under: uncultured bacterium
Lineage: Bacteria
Description: bacterial SSU rRNA
Rfam family: Bacterial small subunit ribosomal RNA
Source: RNAcentral
GUCACGAGUUUGAUCCUGGCUCAGGAUGAACGCUAGCGGCAGGCCUAACACAUGCAAGUCGAGGGGUAGAGUUCUUCGGGACUUGAGACCGGCGCACGGGUGCGUAACGCGUAUGCAAUCUACCUUAUACAGGGGAAUAGCCCAGAGAAAUUUGGAUUAAUGCCCAUAGUGUUAUCGAAUCGCAUGGUUUGAUAACUAAAGUUCCAACGGUAUAAGAUGAGCAUGCGUCCCAUUAGUUAGUUGGUAAGGUAACGGCUUACCAAGACAAUGAUGGGUAGGGGUCCUGAGAGGGAGAUCCCCCCACACUGGUACUGAGACACGGACCAGACUCCUACGGGAGGCAGCAGUGAGGAAUAUUGGUCAAUGGGCGCAAGCCUGAACCAGCCAUGCCGCGUGCAGGAAGACGGUCCUAUGGAUUGUAAACUGCUUUUAUACAGGAAGAAACCCUCCCACGUGUGGGAGCUUGACGGUACUGUAGGAAUAAGGAUCGGCUAACUCCGUG